RNAcentral lists this transfer RNA (74 nucleotides) under Pseudoroseicyclus tamaricis. Its description in RNAcentral is "tRNA-Gly". It matches the Rfam family "tRNA". From Rfam's summary of the family: Transfer RNA (tRNA) molecules are approximately 80 nucleotides in length. Their secondary structure includes four short double-helical elements and three loops (D, anti-codon, and T loops). Lineage: Bacteria; Pseudomonadati; Pseudomonadota; Alphaproteobacteria; Rhodobacterales; Paracoccaceae. The record is from RNAcentral.
GCGGGUGUGAUGUAGUGGUAGCCUGUCAGCCUUCCAAGCUGAACGUGCGGGUUCGAUUCCCGCCACCCGCUCCA